RNAcentral lists this unclassified non-coding RNA (282 nucleotides) under uncultured Agaricomycetes. Its description in RNAcentral is "sequence contains ITS2". The stretch from base 1 to 53 matches the Rfam family "5.8S ribosomal RNA", at positions 102 to 154 of the family's 154-position model. Lineage: Eukaryota; Fungi; Basidiomycota; Agaricomycetes. The record is from RNAcentral.
GAACGCACCUUGCGCUCCUUGGUAUUCCGAGGAGCAUGCCUGUUUGAGUGUCAUGUAAUUAUCAACUCCCUUUCUUUGCUGAAAGGUGAGCUUGGACUUGGGGACUUGCUGGUGAUUCAUCAGCUUCCCUGGAAUGCAUUAGCUGGUCAUUGAUUUGCAGCAUAUAUGCGGUGUGAUAAUGUCGUCACUGUGUAGCUCAAGUCAUCUGGCUUCCAAUUGUCUUUGCGGACACUUUGAUCAAUUUGACCUCAAAUCAGGUAGGACUACCCGCUGAACUUAAGC